UACGUAGGGGGCAAGCGUUGUCCGGAAUUAUUGGGCGUAAAGAGCGUGUAGGCGGCCAGGUAGGUCUGCUGUGAAAACUCGAGGCUCAACCUCGAGCUGUCGGUGGAAACCAUCUGGCUAGAGUCCGGAAGAGGAGAAUGGAAUUCCUGGUGUAGCGGUGAAAUGCGCAGAUAUCAGGAAGAACACCGGUGGCGAAGGCGACAUCCUGGACCGGUAUUGACGCUGAGGCGCGAAAGCCAGGGGAGCAAACGGG
This 253-nucleotide ribosomal RNA is filed under the name uncultured bacterium. Its description in RNAcentral is "partial 16S ribosomal RNA". It matches the Rfam family "Bacterial small subunit ribosomal RNA", at positions 524 to 776 of the family's 1533-position model. The record is from RNAcentral.